This 459-nucleotide ribosomal RNA is filed under the name uncultured bacterium. RNAcentral's name for it is "partial 16S ribosomal RNA". It matches the Rfam family "Bacterial small subunit ribosomal RNA", at positions 338 to 795 of the family's 1533-position model. The record is from RNAcentral.
CCUACGGGUGGCAGCAGUGAGGAAUAUUUGUCAAUGGCCGGAAGGCUGAACCAGCCAUGCCGCGUGAAGGUCAGUGCCCUAUGGGUUGUAAACUUCUUUUAUAAAGGAAUAAAGUGAGGCACGUGUGCCUUUUUGUAUGUACUUUAUGAAUAAGGAUCGGCUAACUCCGUGCCAGCAGCCGCGGUAAUACGGAGGAUCCGAGCGUUAUCCGGAUUUAUUGGGUUUAAAGGGAGCGUAGAUGGGUUGUUAAGUCAGUUGUGAAAGUUUGCGGCUCAACCGUAAAAUUGCAAUUGAUACUGGCAGUCUUGAGUACAGUUGAGGUAGGCGGAAUUCGUGGUGUAGCGGUGAAAUGCUUAGAUAUCACGAAGAACUCCGAUUGCGAAGGCAGCUUACUAAACUGCCACUGACAUUGAUGCUCGAAAGUGUGGGUAUCAAACAGGAUUAGAUACCCGUGUAGUC